CUAGCCGUAAACGAUGGAUACUAGGCGUUGAGAGGAUCGACCCUCGCAGUGCCGUAGCUAACGCGUUAAGUAUCCCGCCUGGGGAGUACGCGCGCAAGCGUGAAACUCAAAGGAAUUGACGGGGGCCCGCACAGGCGGUGGAGUAUGUGGUUUAAUUCGAUGCAACGCGAAGAGCCUUACCAGGGCUUGACAUGUCCGGAACCCUGCCCAAAGGUGGGGGUGCCUACGGGAGCCGGAACACAGGUGGUGC
RNAcentral lists this ribosomal RNA (250 nucleotides) under uncultured Chroococcidiopsis sp. RNAcentral's name for it is "partial 16S ribosomal RNA". It matches the Rfam family "Bacterial small subunit ribosomal RNA", at positions 796 to 1044 of the family's 1533-position model. Lineage: Bacteria; Bacillati; Cyanobacteriota; Cyanophyceae; Chroococcidiopsidales; Chroococcidiopsidaceae. The record is from RNAcentral.